AAGACUAUAGACCUGCGGAGUACCUGCGGAAGGAUCAUUACAGAGUUAUCAAACUCCUAAACCCUUUGUUAAUUUACCUAUUUGUUUCUUCGGCAGGUGGUCCCUGGGAGGGUCCUGCAGCCUGUUAAGGUACCUGCCGAAGGUCAUAACUCGGUUUUACAUUAUGUGUCUAAGUCUUACUAUAAAAUAAGUCAAAACUUUUAACAACGGAUCUCU
RNAcentral lists this unclassified non-coding RNA (216 nucleotides) under soil metagenome. RNAcentral describes it as "partial contains 5.8S ribosomal RNA, internal transcribed spacer 2, and large subunit ribosomal RNA". The record is from RNAcentral.